This 442-nucleotide ribosomal RNA is filed under the name uncultured bacterium. RNAcentral describes it as "partial 16S ribosomal RNA". It matches the Rfam family "Bacterial small subunit ribosomal RNA", at positions 338 to 795 of the family's 1533-position model. The record is from RNAcentral.
CCUACGGGUGGCAGCAGUGGGGAAUAUUGGGCAAUGGACGCAAGUCUGACCCAGCAACGCCGCGUGAAGGAAGAAGGCUUUCGGGUUGUAAACUUCUUUUAAGGGGGAAGAGCAGAAGACGGUACCCCUUGAAUAAGCUACGGCUAACUACGUGCCAGCAGCCGCGGUAAUACGUAGGUGGCAAGCGUUGUCCGGAUUUACUGGGUGUAAAGGGCGUGCAGCCGGAGAGACAAGUCAGAUGUGAAAUCCACGGGCUCAACCCGUGAACUGCAUUUGAAACUACUUCCCUUGAGUACUGGAGAGGAAAGUGGAAUUCCUAGUGUAGCGGUGAAAUGCGUAGAUAUUAGGAGGAACACCAGUGGCGAAGGCGACUUUCUGGACAGUAACUGACGUUGAGGCACGAAAGUGUGGGGAGCAAACAGGAUUAGAUACCCGUGUAGUC